Molecule: non-coding RNA, 24 nt
Filed under: Arabidopsis thaliana (thale cress)
Lineage: Eukaryota; Viridiplantae; Streptophyta; Magnoliopsida; Brassicales; Brassicaceae
Also listed under: 4 other names
Source: RNAcentral
AAACCACAGCCAAGGGAACGGGCU